UGGCUCAGUUGGUAGAGCAUGGUAUUUGCAAUGCCAGGGUUGUGGGUUUGAUUCCCAC
Molecule: transfer RNA, 58 nt
Filed under: Salmo trutta (river trout)
Lineage: Eukaryota; Metazoa; Chordata; Actinopteri; Salmoniformes; Salmonidae
Rfam family: tRNA
About the family: Transfer RNA (tRNA) molecules are approximately 80 nucleotides in length. Their secondary structure includes four short double-helical elements and three loops (D, anti-codon, and T loops).
Source: Rfam by way of RNAcentral